This 218-nucleotide ribosomal RNA is filed under the name uncultured Staphylococcus sp. RNAcentral's name for it is "partial 16S ribosomal RNA". It matches the Rfam family "Bacterial small subunit ribosomal RNA", at positions 144 to 354 of the family's 1533-position model. The record is from RNAcentral. Lineage: Bacteria; Bacillati; Bacillota; Bacilli; Caryophanales; Staphylococcaceae.
UAACUUCGGGAAACCGGAGCUAAUACCGGAUAAUAUUUCGAACCGCAUGGUUCGAUAGUGAAAGGUGGUUUUGCUAUCACUUAUAGAUGGACCCGCGCCGUAUUAGCUAGUUGGUAAGGUAACGGCUUACCAAGGCGACGAUACGUAGCCGACCUGAGAGGGUGAUCGGCCACACUGGAACUGAGACACGGUCCAGACUCCUACGGGAGGCAGCAGGG